RNAcentral lists this small RNA (6590 nucleotides) under Rattus norvegicus (Norway rat). Its description in RNAcentral is "uncharacterized LOC108352121". Lineage: Eukaryota; Metazoa; Chordata; Mammalia; Rodentia; Muridae. The record is from RNAcentral.
CACACAUGCACACACACAUAUAUACAUGCACACACACACACACACACGCAUGCAUGCACACAUACACACACCCCAAUUGGUGAUUCUAUGUCCACACUGUUCUUGUAAUUCAUACCAAUCUGCAACUUAUUUUAUUUUUCUGCUAAUUAGAUAUGUGAGAUUUACUCCCUUUGACUCAUACAUUGGGUUUGAGUAGCUAGGACCUUGGAAUAGUAGUCUACUAAAUGGAUUCUCUACAAUUUACCUCUCUACUCAACCAUUUAUGAGUCCUUUCAUGAUUUCCAAUUUUUCACUAUGUUAAACAAUGUGUAUUGAACAUUGUUCUACACGUCUUCAUGGGUAUGCACGAUAAUUUACAUCAGAAAUCAUCUCUGCAUCUCUCCACAGCCCGUGCAUUUUUACUUAGAUAACUGUGUAUUUCUCUUCAUGUAGGUUGCACACCUCUACGGGAUCUAAUUCACAUCCCUAGUAGUGCUUGAUAUUAUUAAGCAGUGAUAUUUUCUCAGACUAACAUUGCUCACUGUUUCUUGGGGACUGUUUAGCAUGUGAACUUCACUCUACGCUCACAGCUUUGUACCUUUGUACUUGCUGUCCCAUUAUAUGUGGAAUAUUCUUAUUUUGCCACUUAAGAACGUCUGCUGGGUUUCCCCCCUUUAUGAUCUGAUCACUAAAUGCCUCCGAAUCUCUUAGUAGACCAUCUUACUCCUAGAUGCAUUUUGAUACUCUCUUAAGGGACUCUAAACCUAACUAGGAUAUAAUUUAUGUGAGGCAUUCUUUCUGAUUAUUUAUGCUUUCCUUUCUCACCCUCUUUGGAUAACAAAUCAAUGCUGACCUGAUGCUAACUCUACAGUAACUUCCUUUGCUUUCUUUUCCUUUUUCUUUUCUUUUUCUUCUUCUUUUUUUUUGUUUAUUGACAACUCAUGUUCACCCCUUUCUCCCCAUGCAAACCUGUCAUCUCCUAGACCAUUCAUCUCCUCAUCCAAAGUGCUUGACUUCCAGUGUUGCUUGGUUAUCACCAAUUUCAAGCCAGCCAGUGUUUUUCUUCCUGUAGGAAGGUUUACAAUCACUAACAUUUUAUUUUCUUCUCAUGGAACCUGAACUGACUCUGACCCAUAUCUUCCACACCAGGGGAUAACGAACGGAACCCCUUCUCUGCAAGAGCCUAUACUAUUUCCUUAUGAGCACCCUGCCAAGGGAAAGGCACUGCGUAAUCGUGACUGACAGAAGAGAAGGAAGCUGAUUACAAUUUUCACUUCAGGUUUUUAGUUGGGAGUUGAAUUUCAUGAGAUAAUUACAACAAGUCAUUGUGUUUCCAGCAUGAGAAUGUGGUGCAGAACCUUGUGGAAUAGAAGUGCUCAGGGAGCUAUCGAGCACACCCAUGCAUAAAAAGAAUUACACUUCAAGAAAGGUGCCUUGUAAAAUGAAAAUAAUAAUAAUAAUAAUAAAGUGAUAGUGAUAGUCUUUGGUUGCCAUGGAAAUAUGAACUCACCUUUCCUGAUAAGAAUUAUGGUUUUUUUUUCCACUGUAUUAGGCUUAAUAGAAAAAUGAUAUACUCUGUGACAUUUUUAACCAUGUAUGCAUUUUAAAGCAUUCACUGGGCUGCAGUGGCCAUGGAUUAGCAUAGAAUUAUGCACCUCAGUGUAUGCACUGGUAUGACCCACCAUCGGUUUUAGAAAGCAUGACAUUCAGUGUCUCCGAACUUAAUCCAUUUUAUCUGUAUAUGAGAGAUUAUAUAUGUUUGCUUGUAUGUGGCAACUCUUGCAUUUUUUCCAGAGUGAUUCCAAUGUAAUUCAGGUUCCUCUGCUAAAUCUGUUAUCCUGAAAAUGUGGUCUAGCUUACUGUAUCGUUUAAGACCACAAAAGAUCCAGGCAGCCACUAUUCUCAUUGUUUCUCUGCUUUCUUCCAAUGCGUUCUACCAUUUGACUUAAGAAUUGUUCAAGUUCGUACAAAAGGAAAGGCUCAGACAGUGACCCAGUGAGGGGUGAAUCCUGUUGUAGACUGGGCACAUGGCAGGACCAGGGAAUUGUCUGAGGCAUAAUACCUUGAGUCUUUAAAAUCUAGGAAAUAUUUCAAAUGUCAUAUAAUGGAGGGACAUGUUAUUUGUGAUUUUAUUGCCAUUCCCAGUAGAUAGUGAGGCAUGUUGCUGAGGAUACAUGGCUUGGUAAGUAUAGAAAUGCACUAUAGGGCUUCGUCAGGUAAAUGUUCUGAAGAGUUUGCGUAUUUAAGAGUUAGAUACAGUCAUUACCACUCCCAACCAAAAUACCAAUUUCUUCCCCUUGACCCAUGCCUUGGUAUGCACCCAUAUAUUUGAAUCACAGGAGAUAUGGUGGAGUCAAGUCACUUCCUUUGUUUCCAUUCACCAGCAGUUCCUCAAUUCCCAUAGGAGUGAAGCAAAGGGUUCCGUUUUUUGUUUGUUUUGUUUUGUUUUGUUUUGUUUUGUUUUGUUUUUUGACUGAAGCCCGUCUUAUGCUCUUGCUUCUCCACAGGCUGCUCCUUGGUCUGCUCUCUUUCUCAUUCCAUUCCAUUAAUGUUAGCAAACUGUUUUGCAACACAUCGUUAAGACUGAAAGGUCAGCGGGCUCCACUGCAUGAUCUUUAAAAGGUUGGUAAUGUCAAGACGAAUGCAGCCUCUUAAAUCUGUUUUUAAAGGCCAGAAUCAUCCAUGCAUUUUUGGAGGAGGAUAAUGACAUCAAAAUUAUUACCAAAACCCUGUCCCUGUGAUCAUUGGGGGCAACCAGGAUUUACUACUUAGUAGACAGAAACUUCUGCUGCCCAAGACCUGUGUAUCGGCUCUGGACGACUCGAUUUUAAGGGGAAAAGAGCAAGCCCUUCCUCUGCGCUCCAACAAAACUGUCUGCACUCCACACAAAUGAGCAGGUGACCCUACUUGACAUCAAAUCUCUAGACUUACCAACAAGUCUUUUUCUCUAAGAGUAUAAAUGUGUAGUACAAAAUAUAUACACAUUAUUUAUGACCUAAUUAAUUGUAGAAUAGAUCUGCUUUUUAAUUCAGUUAUCUUUUUUUUCACUUUUGUUUGUUUGUUUGGAUUUGAAAUGGCUGUGAAGUUGUGAGUAUUGAAAACUCAGGUUCAAGGUGACUGACAUUCCACUGAGACCUGUAUGAACACCUACUGGUCCUUGCUGGUCUCCUAAAGCAAGGAUAUGGUAUUUCGCAGUUAAUAAACAGCUAUAGACUUGGUAUGUUGAGCAACUUAGACAAUGCUAUGUGCUUAGGGACUGUUAUUUUUGUUUGGGAAUCAAACUCGGGUCCUUCCAUUUACUACCGAAGCACUCUACCACUGAGCUACAACCCCACCUGGUUUGGGAUUUUAAGAAACUCUGUGUCAAGUCUCUGCAGGAUUAUUGUCAAGUUCGGGUACUGUUUUAAAAUUUAAGCUAGCACUACUGCUUAAAAGCAUGACAUCAUGGAGAUAAUUCAGCCAGCAAAGGGGAAUAACAGUAGGUGCCAUAGAACAGACAGUGAAAGGGUGGGUGUCAGAAAGGAGAAUAAGAUUCUCUCUGUAUGGAGAAACAAUAGGGUUUAGAGGUGACUUGAAGACCAAUGCCAUUUUGACUUAAGUGCAUGGUGGUAGAAAAUCUCACGGUAAAGCAGAAUCCCCACCUAUCGUUGACUUCCUAACUCCACUCUGCUCUAAGCAGCCAAAAACCACUUUGGAUUUCUAAGGCUUUCCUUGACCUUCCCUGGGACAAAUUCACUCACAAAGAGGGUAAACUCACACUAGAUUCCAUACUUUUCAAAUUCAUAACCUCGGCCAGCUCAACAAAGAAAAAACCAAACAAACAAACAAAAAAAUGAUUAGUGUCCUCUCAGUUUAAAAUAUAAUUUUCUUUACAACACACACAUUUACUUAUAUAGCCAUAAAAAAGCUUAGAUAAAGUACUUCCUAGCCUGGUGUGUGGUUUCCUCUGCUUUUACUUAUUCUCAGCUCUACCUGUGCAGAUUCUACUCCUUCCUUCCCCGUGAACAUCUCCUGCCUCCUUAUCACAGCUUGAAAGCACCUGUCAAACCCAUUGUUUUGAAACAGAUGUCUAUCACAUGCUGCACAGGCUUGUAGUUUAUGUGUUUUUUACUUCCCUACAAUCAAAAAAUAUUUUAAAAUAAACGAGGAAUAGAAAGGUAUACAUAAGGGGCUGGGGAUUUAGCUCAGUGGUAGAGCGCUUACCUAGGAAGCACAAGGCCCUGGGUUUGGUCCCCAGCUCCGAAAAAAAAAAGAACCAAAAAAAAAAAAAAAGGUAUACAUACGUGAACAGAACGGGCAGUUCUCUGAUUAAAUCUAUUCCCACCAAGGUGCCUUAUCCAUUUGGCUCAAGUUCUCAUUAGAUUUUUUUAAAAUCACACUCUUUAAAAUGAAGUUUAUUUGAAGCAAAAGAGAAAAGUUCAAUUCUAGCGAAUGAGCCUCAGGAAAAUUUUUUUCUAUUCUCAGUAUUUUCUAGUACAAGCCACAAUGCGAAAUGUCCCUCCUAAAGUGUGUUCUUUCUCUUUGGAGACACUGUUUAUAAAUCACCCCAAUAUUCUAAGCCUCAAACACUGACACAGAGUCCUUCUUCAAACUCGAUGACAAUGAGUGACUUAGUUUUAUUCUCCCCCUGACACUAUUAGUUAUGAAGGACAAUGGAUCAAACCCAUGGCUAUGUCUUAUAUCACAGACAAACACAUACACACACACACACACACACACACACACACACACACACACACAAAUACAUACAUACACAUACAUAAACAAACCCAUCCUGUCUGGAGUUCUGGCUCCUUGAUGCAGAACAUAUCCAGUAUAAUCAGAGAAAGGUUCAGCAACUUAAUCACUUUAAAGGUAUAAUACAUUUUAAAAGCAAUGAGUAUCUGGGCUGGGGAGAUGGCUAGAUAGUUCAGUGGUUAAAAUCUUUGGCUACUCCUGCCAAGGACCUGCAGUAGAUUUCUAGCAUACACACAGAAGCUCAUGACCUCCUGUGACUCCACUGUCAGAACUCUUCUGGCCACUGAGGGGUACUGCAUGCGUGUGGUGCACAUACAUAGGUAAAACACCUAUACACAUAAAAAUAAAUAACUAUAAACAAAUAUGUUUUGGAACAGCAAAGAUACCAAAUUGUCCUUACACACAUGCACACACAUGAGGGGAGGAAGAGACAAAGAGGCAAAAAGAGAUACGAGAAAGGGUGGGGGUCGUGGAGGGAGGGAGAGAGAGCUCUGUGACAUGCCUGGCCAUGAUCUCUGAUAUUCGCUGUCAUCCCCCUGACAAUAAUGACAAUUAUUUUCUUUCAUGAUCAUGUCUAUGAUCAUCAGCAUCUCUACCACAGUCAUCAUCAUUAUCACCAUCACCAUUACCAGAGCUCUGACUUAUUAAGCAAUAGCGAUGAACUAGAUGCUAUUCUAAGCACUUUGCAUAUUUAUAGUUUCCAAUCACUUCCAGCCUGUAGAUAAUUGUUCAUGAUUAUUGUCAUUUUAAGAAAGUUGGAAUUUAGAGACAGGAAGUCAUAUGCUUUAGCAAGAAGUCUAAGGAUCCUCUGUGGGUGAGGAAGAGGACGCAUGUCUUUUGUUGCUCCCUGUAAGUCUCAGUGACAGUGACACUGGCUCCUUCCUCUGCCUCUCUUUGGCUUGUUGUUUCUUUACCAUCUCUGAUCCCAGUUUAUAAUCUGGUAGCUCCUUCAGCAUUCAUGAGUUUGCUCUAAAACUCACAUUGGCCUAAUGCUCUUAAGAAACCUGGGCACUAAGACAUAAAGAGUUUUAAAUUCAAUUGAAUAGUCGUGCUAUUUAUUUUGGUAGAUCUGAGGAUUAAACUAAGGGCAUUGAGAAGGUAUUUAGCAGGCCCUUGACGCUAAGCCCUGAGCAAAGACACCAGACCUAAGAUUAUUACUUUCUUAUAUAAAUUUUACAUGUAAAAAUUAAAAAUAAAAAUAUGAAACAUUUCACUAAGUAAAAAUAUAAGCAUUGUGUUUUCAGUCCCUGACUGAGGAUGGUUAAAUCUUGGUAAUUAUCAGCUCUGAAGGGCUGUUCUCCUGUCUGUGGGGGAUGGGUUGUUAUCAGGAUGAUCCCUUUGCUGAAAAUAGCAUGCAUAAAAGAGUUUUAUAAUCGCUGGGAAAGGAUCAUAAAGCAGUAAGCUCACAAAGCCCUAAGCAGCCAUGAGCCUAGACAGAAGUUCUGUGCAGACUGCAGAGCUAAGUGAGUGAGACAAAGGCUAGAGUCUUCUCUGGUAAGUGUACAACCUUCAGAGCCAAGAAAAGCAUAACCCCGAACUAUGCUAAGGACAAGGAAGACCCCACCUAGAGCUAUCACAGCCUAACUGAACAGCGGCCAGGUAAAAAUGCAAGCUCAACAAGCAAAAAAAAGGCUCAUGAGUCUCAAAGAAAAAGAAAAUGGAAAUUAUGGAAGGAAGAAGCCUCUCAGGUCUCUACAACUUCAUGUCCUCUUUAAAAAGAAAAAUAGUCCCAUCUGGGGAUUGGUGAAGAGUCAACAACUGGAGCAUGGGCAUCAUUUCUGAAGAAAAUGGACUCUUCCUUCUACCAUAGAUGGCCAUCAAUUGCCAAUAGCUCCUUGAGACUAGGGUGGAGCCUUGUGAGCCCCUCCCCCAAU